RNAcentral lists this ribosomal RNA (681 nucleotides) under Triticum aestivum (bread wheat). Its description in RNAcentral is "partial small subunit ribosomal RNA". The record is from RNAcentral. Lineage: Eukaryota; Viridiplantae; Streptophyta; Magnoliopsida; Poales; Poaceae.
CUUGGCCAUAAUAUUCAGAACGAGUUAAUUUCCCGUCUUGCUUGCAGUGUUAAAGAUUCUCUCUUGAAGAUAAUUAAGGAUGCAAGGUAUUUCUCUGUCAUUUUAGACUGUACCCCUGAUGUGAGCCAUCAAGAACAAAUGACUCUAAUUGUGAGAUGUGUAAACAUGUCAAGUGCCAGUACAAAAAUAGAGGAGUUUUUUCUAGAGUUCAUGAAGGUCGACUAUACGUCGGGACUUGGACUUUAUAAUGUGUUAAUUGAUACACUUGAAUAUGUUGGUUUGAAUGUUCAAGAUGUUCGUGGACAAGGGUAUGACAAUGGUUCGAACAUGAAGGGAAAAAACCAAGGGGUACAGAGCAGAUUGCUAGCAACUAAUCCAAGAGCAUUGUACAUGUCGUGUGCUUGUCACAGCCUGAAUCUUACUCUCAGUGAUAUGGAAAAAUCUUGCGAUAAAGCUAUAACUUUCUUUGGUGUUGUGCAAAGAAUUUACAUAUUGUUUUCAAGCUCUACUAAAAGAUGGCAGCUAUUGCUUGAUCAUGUUCCAAAAAUGACAGUUAAGUCUUUGUGUAAGACUCGAUGGGAGAGUCGAAUAAAGAGUGUUCAUGCUACCAGAUAUCAAGCACCUGAGUUAAUAAAAGCUUUAUUGGAAUUGAAGAGAACUUCUACUGAUGACGCCAAGACU